AUGCUUAAGGUGCCCCAUGUGGAUGUCUUUCAACAUGUUUCAUCUAUCCUCAAGGAGUAUGGAUUUUGCCCUACUGGAGAUCCCAUGGACACUGUAAACCUCCAGCCUUAUGAGUGCAGAAAGUCAAACGGAGAGUCAUGCAAAGGGCUUAAAAAUGCAAACACGGCAGUUACGGAAUUGGCCAAUCUGGAUGCUGCAGAGGAAAAGGUCACAACCGUUGGAAAUGACAACCUCUCCCUUAUGGCACGGCAGCACACCAAAAAAACACAGGCUGUGAGAAAGAAAGCAGGCGGAGGAUGGGAUCCCACAUAUACAAAGAGAAGUUUCUUCCCAUACUGGAGAUCAGUGUUACAAGAUCAGGUUCCUUUGAAGGUGUAUCCAGCCUAUGCAAGCUCAGAUCCUAGUCCAAAUCAUAAACUUGGUCCAAUGCGAAGGACCUCGCCAUUUACAAGCAACAAUCAACCCAGAAGGUGCUUUGUCACUGCUGCUAUUGGUGCAUUCAGGCUCUUGAAGGUGCUAAAAUAG
Molecule: ribosomal RNA, 525 nt
Filed under: Triticum aestivum (bread wheat)
Lineage: Eukaryota; Viridiplantae; Streptophyta; Magnoliopsida; Poales; Poaceae
Description: partial small subunit ribosomal RNA
Source: RNAcentral